RNAcentral lists this ribosomal RNA (253 nucleotides) under uncultured bacterium. Its description in RNAcentral is "partial 16S ribosomal RNA". It matches the Rfam family "Bacterial small subunit ribosomal RNA", at positions 524 to 776 of the family's 1533-position model. The record is from RNAcentral.
UACGUAGGUGGCAAGCGUUGUCCGGAUUUACUGGGCGUAAAGAGCGCGCAGGCGGUCGUUCAAGUCGCGUGUGAAAGCCCCCGGCUCAACUGGGGAGGGUCACGCGAUACUGAUCGACUCGAAGGCAGGAGAGGGUAGUGGAAUUCCCGGUGUAGUGGUGAAAUGCGUAGAUAUCGGGAGGAACACCAGUGGCGAAGGCGGCCACCUGGGCCGACCCUGACGCUGAGGCGCGAAGGCGUGGGGAGCGAACGGG